UGCAGUCGAGCGGAAACGACUUAACUGAACCUUCGGGGAACGUUAAGGGCGUCGAGCGGCGGACGGGUGAGUAAUGCCUGGGAAAUUGCCCUGAUGUGGGGGAUAACCAUUGGAAACGAUGGCUAAUACCGCAUGAUAGCUUCGGCUCAAAGAGGGGGACCUUCGGGCCUCUCGCGUCAGGAUAUGCCCAGGUGGGAUUAGCUAGUUGGUGAGGUAAGGGCUCACCAAGGCGACGAUCCCUAGCUGGUCUGAGAGGAUGAUCAGCCACACUGGAACUGAGACACGGUCCAGACUCCUACGGGAGGCAGCAGUGGGGAAUAUUGCACAAUGGGCGCAAGCCUGAUGCAGCCAUGCCGCGUGUAUGAAGAAGGCCUUCGGGUUGUAAAGUACUUUCAGCAGUGAGGAAGGUGGUGUCGUUAAUAGCAGCAUCACUUGACGUUAGCUGCAGAAGAAGCACCGGCUAACUCCGUGCCAGCAGCCGCGGUAAUACGGAGGGUGCGAGCGUUAAUCGGAAUUACUGGGCGUAAAGCGCAUGCAGGUGGUUCGUUAAGUCAGAUGUGAAAGCCCGGGGCUCAACCUCGGAAUUGCAUUUGAAACUGGCGGACUAGAGUACUGUAGAGGGGGGUAGAAUUCCCGGGUGUAGCGGUGAAAUGCGUAGAGAUCUGAAGGAAUACCGG
RNAcentral lists this ribosomal RNA (677 nucleotides) under uncultured Vibrio sp. RNAcentral describes it as "bacterial SSU rRNA". It matches the Rfam family "Bacterial small subunit ribosomal RNA", at positions 56 to 712 of the family's 1533-position model. The record is from RNAcentral. Lineage: Bacteria; Pseudomonadati; Pseudomonadota; Gammaproteobacteria; Vibrionales; Vibrionaceae.